Long non-coding RNA from Populus trichocarpa (black cottonwood), 717 nucleotides. RefSeq lists it as uncharacterized. The transcript is spliced from 2 exons. The record is from RefSeq and is a predicted model, not a curated record. NCBI's taxonomy places the organism in Eukaryota, Viridiplantae, Streptophyta, Magnoliopsida, Malpighiales, Salicaceae.
GUAUUAUCCAAGAAGCAUCUCUUUUUUCUUUCUCAAACCUUAAGAUUCUCAUCUCCUGACUUAUUAGACAAGUGGAAGUGCGAUUGUAAGUGUUGUAAUUAUCCAAGCUUUCCAGCCAAUAACAACUUCGUAAAUACAAUAAUAUCCGAGGAUGUUUUAGACAACCUCAAUAUCAGUAUCUGUAUUAAGAGUAUUGGCUAUAAAUAAAAAGGGUAUAGGAGAGGCAUUGGCCAUGUAAAACACAAUAUUUUUCAGUAUGAAAGCUUUAGUGAUAGCUAUUCUUAUAGCUACCAUUGCCUUCUCUCCUUUAUCCAUGGCAGCUCGAGAAUUGGUCGACUAUGGAAAAGUUAGCGUUACCGUCAAUGAUGGGAGCAAUGGCAGGAUUUGGAUGCCACCCCCAUCACCGGUGACUAAUUGUAGACCCAACCAACGCUGCUACCCUCCACCAACAAAUGAUUAGUGCUGUAGUCUUGCAAUGAAAUUGUAAUCAGCUGCUGGUGGAAUUAAUUUUGAAGUUUAUCUAAAAAACUCAUUUGGUUUUUCUAAGCGCUCGUAUAAUGUAUUAAUAUUAUAAUUAUUCCAAGUCUUUUGAAUUAUCUCUAGUAUAAAUAUAUUUGUUGAAAGCGUUGUAAUCUAAGUACAUGUCAAAGGGACUUCCUCUCUUGAAAAAGUAAUAUGGUAUGAAUGGAAUAUGUUUCCAUCGUAUUUCCCUCGACA